Heterocephalus glaber (naked mole-rat) is the source of this 2627-nucleotide long non-coding RNA. Lineage: Eukaryota; Metazoa; Chordata; Mammalia; Rodentia; Bathyergidae. The record is from Ensembl.
AGCGCGUCACGGCGGGCGGGUGGGGCUGGCGGGAAGACCGCGAGGGAGGGCGCGUCUGGGGGCACCGGUGACCCGCGGGUGGGGGUAGAAAGCUUGGGCCGAGCCAGCGACGGGGAGAGUCGGCGAGUCCGCUUCAGAGUCCAGGCUGUGACAGGAGGGCAGGGGCCUGCAGGGAGCCUUAGGUGCGGCGCCGGCCCCCGGGAGCGGCAGGUACCGCGCGGCGCGACCCCGGGACCUCGGGCGCCGCGGGAGGGAGGCAGGGAGGGGCCCCAGCGAGGAGCCCAGCCCACCCGAGCAGGGUCAGGGUCACCCGAGGCGGCACCCGCGGAUCCCGGGCCACCACGCCGGCAGGAAGCCGUCCCAGGACCCAAAGGUGAUGCCAGAGAUUCAAUGAGGCUAAGAAACGAAACUGUGCCCUGGAGCCAGGGGUAGAGGGAGACCUGUCUGCUCUUAUGACUUGCUGUGACACAGAUUGCCUCCCAACCUUGCUGACUCUCUACAGGGCCCCACUGUCUGACCCGCUCCCACCCGUGAGGGCAGAAUGGGGACACACAGGACCUGUUCCCCUGGACUUUGAAGAGCCCUGUGGAAUACUUUGUAUAAUGACAGAGCUAAGGAUAGAUGUUAGCUGGGGUGAAUACCAGCCCUGCCUAACAGAAAGGGAAGCUAAAACAGAGGCUAGAACUUGGCCUAAUUUAACACACAGCCCCAGGGGCCAGGUGCUGCCUGACUGCCCACUGCUCCCUGGAUUCUGCUGAAUGAGGAGGGAGAGGAAAGGGGCACUUGCCCUUCUUGGAAUCCCCUGCCCUCCAGGGUACCUGUACUUCAUUCACUAAGGUACAGCUCAUGAGAACCUGAGGCUAGUUUUCAGGACCCCUCAUUUGGAGGACCAGUUGCUUAAUGGGAGAACCUUGAGUUGCACAGAGCAAGACUUAAAGACAGCAUCGAUGCAUCUUGUGUCGAACCCUUUUACAAAUGGCCUGCAAGUUCUACCUGAAGGAUUCCACAAGGGUCUUACCGGCCUUUAAGCUAUUUCAUUGACCACUUAGUCAGAUGGGACUGUCCUUUGCCCAGUGCUGAGCUGCCGAGACAGCUACACAGGGAAACCAGAUCAAGUCCUUCCUUUUGUCUGAAAUUCCACCUCCCCAUCUCCACCCAGAUACAGUUUUAGGAAAGAGAUGAACUGCAAAACAAAUGUUUCUCUGGCCUUCAUACACUGUCAAUAUUCAGCCUAUAGUAUGAAAGGAUGACUUCUGCCCUGUUACUUCCAGACUAAGCCCAAGAGGACAAGGGACACUCAACAGGCUACACUGUUGAUUUUAUCAAAGAGAGAGUACAUCCACCCCAUCCAUUCAUUCAACAUUACUGUACCUACUGUGUGUUGGGCAGCAUGCCAGAGCCUUGAAGUGAGAAGAUAGUACUUAGAGUUUCCACUUUUAAGGAGCCCGAGUCUGGCAGAUAGACAGCUACAGAAACAAACUGCAGUUCAGAAUAGCAGUGAGACCAUAUCGAGGAGGGAGCAGGAAUUCAUCCCCCAGGAGUCACCUGGGAAGCCAACACCUCAGAAGUGAUGCUUAAGCAGGGGUCUUAACACUAAUUAGAAGUUCCCAGGGAGAUGGUAUUUUGGCCAAAGGAAAAAUGGCAGGUCGGAGGAACAGCAUUUAAUGGGGAUUAUGGUACUGUACAUCAAAGGUGCACUCUCUCCUAUAGCAGUAGGAAGCCAUUUUUUGGUCUUUUUAUUUUGUGGUUUGUUUGUUUGUUUGUUUUGAGACAGCAUUCCUGUAUGUAGUCUAGGCUACCCUUGAACUUGCUAUAUAUCCCAGACUGGGCUCAAACUCACAAUCCUGCCUCAGCUUCCCGAGUGCUAGAAUUACAGGCAUACACCACCACACUGGGUCAUUUUUAUUGUUUAUUAAGUGGGGAAAGGGUACAGUCAGGUUUGUGUUUAGACAAAGAAUUAAUGGCCAGAUGCAGGCUAGCUUGGAAGAUGAGAAGUAGAUAAUGAGGACCUCCCUGAAGACAAUGGAAAUAGAAACUGAUGAAAAGGAAUGGAUUUUAGUGGUGUUUAGGAAGUAGAACCAAAAGUAUCUAGUGACUAAGGGUAUGCAGGGAGGAAUGAGUGAGACAGAGGGUGCUGUAAGGGGCCAUUCAUGGAAAUUAUAAAAGCCAGAGGAAGCUGUCUGGGGACAGAUGGUGGGAGAAGGCAGCAGUUAGAGCUGUAGUCGUAUUUAAGUUGGAUAUGCCCUCAGAGGUGUCACGGGGAGGUGGAAGGUGGGCACUUGGGAAUACAGGUCUGGAGCCCAGGCAGAGGUCAGGGCUACUCCAGUGUAACUGCUGUGCAGAAAAGCAGUCUUGAAGACAACUAAAGAGGCCUGUGAUGGUGCUGUCAGCGAGGCCACAUGGACCCUGAAGAGCCUUGACUCUCAGUAGUGACACCUGUAGACAUUAUUUUCAUAUCAUAUGGAGGGGUGACUCUCUCCAGCCUCAAGGCUUUCCUGAGAUGCCUGGCAGGGUCAUUCCCUGAGAGAAUUCUGGGUUAAUGGCAUACAUUUAGUACAGAUGUGUUUAAUGAAAUGAGUGAAUCUCCAGGAAUCAACUGAAAAGUGAGUAUUUAGCUCAGAUCUCCC